Long non-coding RNA from Schistocerca gregaria, 837 nucleotides. RefSeq lists it as uncharacterized. The record is from RefSeq and is a predicted model, not a curated record. The transcript has 2 exons. Lineage: Eukaryota; Metazoa; Arthropoda; Insecta; Orthoptera; Acrididae.
UCUGACAUCCGUGACGUGUGAUCGUGAAGAGACAUACAAUAGUGAUGGGCUAAACUGCGAUUUUCCGAUAUCAGUGAUUUCUGCGAAUGCUACUUUCCAGUAUCUGCUAUUCUUAACUGUGAUUUGUUGCAGUUAAGAGUCGCAGUUAAGGAACGUAGGUCGCGUAUCCCUCCGCCACUGCUAUUUCUGCAAUUUUUGCUACUUCCGCGAUUUCUGUGACUUCUGCUACUUCUGCGAUUUUUGUGACUUCUGCUACUUCUGCGACUUACCACCGUAUGGAAAAGUUACAUCUGCCCACACAGAAAAUUGCAUCUCAACAAAUCUGUCAUUGGUACCCGAACUACAUUUCAGUCACUCAGUAAAUUGAUAACUCAAAAUAUCAUUGUCAACACAUCUGGAGAAAUUGCCACUGCGUCUUUAGACCGGUUUCGUCAGACGAGAGGUUAGUUUCUAAGUGUUUCGAUGGACUUAAUUACUUCAGUGAGAUCGUUCUUGCAAAUGUGAACUAUACCCCAUUGAGUGGCUUUCAUUACAGCAAAUAUUAGCAAUCCACUCUGUCAAUUAUAUUGCUUGUAAUUAGUGACAGCAAAAAUUGUUUAAUAAUCCUUGUGAUUUUGCAGACACAGUUCUGACUCUUGAUUACUGGUUGCUGUACGAAUUUAUCCACAUCAAGGCUGUUGAGACUCGUGAAGAUUCAAGACAGCUCUUAGAGAAUUUGCAGUUUAAAAGUGACAUAAUUGUGCAGAUGAGUGAUUAAACUGUAUUUUAUUGAAGUUGUUAUGCAAUUUUAAAGGAAUAAUAAAUGUUAAAUACAGUGAGUGAAUAAUGAAAAUCUCA